Molecule: small nuclear RNA, 108 nt
Organism: Sciurus carolinensis (gray squirrel)
Lineage: Eukaryota; Metazoa; Chordata; Mammalia; Rodentia; Sciuridae
Source: RefSeq, a predicted model, not a curated record
GUUCUCACUCUGGUAGAAUACAUACUAAAGUUGGAACAAUAUAGAGAAGAUUAGCGUGGCCCCUGCACAAGGAUGACAGGCAAAUUUAAUGAAGCAUUCCAUGAAAAA